Molecule: long non-coding RNA, 210 nt
Organism: Oxyura jamaicensis (ruddy duck)
Lineage: Eukaryota; Metazoa; Chordata; Aves; Anseriformes; Anatidae
Exons: 4
Source: RefSeq, a predicted model, not a curated record
CACAGAUGACAGAGGUGACACAGGUGCCAAAGGUGACACAAGUGACAGAAGUGACACAACUGACAGAGCUGACACAGGUGACACAAGUGACAGAAGUGGCACAAGUGACAGAAGUGACACAAGUGACAGAAGUGACACCAGUGACAGAAGUGACACAAGUGACAGAAGUGACACAUGUGACAGAGGUGACAGAGGUGGCCCAGGUGACAG